Molecule: small nuclear RNA, 107 nt
Filed under: Peromyscus maniculatus bairdii (prairie deer mouse)
Lineage: Eukaryota; Metazoa; Chordata; Mammalia; Rodentia; Cricetidae
Source: RNAcentral
GUGCUCACUUCGGCAGCACGUGUACUAAAAUUGGAACUAUACAGAGAAGAUUAGCACGGCCCCUGUGCAAGGAUGACAUGCAAAUUCGUGAAGCGUUCCAUACUUUU